This 269-nucleotide ribosomal RNA is filed under the name uncultured prokaryote. RNAcentral's name for it is "partial 16S ribosomal RNA". It matches the Rfam family "Bacterial small subunit ribosomal RNA", at positions 524 to 792 of the family's 1533-position model. The record is from RNAcentral.
UACGGGGGGGACUAGCGUUGUUCGGAUUUACUGGGCGUAAAGGGCGCGUAGGCGGACUUUCAAGUCGGAUGUGAAAUCUGGUGGCUUAACUGCCAGUCUGCACUCGAUACUGUUAGUCUUGAGUACAGGAGGGGAGAGUGGAAUUCCAGGUGUAGCGGUGGAAUGCGUAGAUAUCUGGAAGAACACCCGUAGCGAAGGCGACUCUCUGGACUGAUACUGACGCUAAAGCGCGAAGGCUAGGGUAGCAAACAGGAUUAGAUACCCCCGUA